UAGGGAAUCUUCGGCAAUGGACGAAAGUCUGACCGAGCAACGCCGCGUGAGUGAAGAAGGUUUUCGGAUCGUAAAACUCUGUUGUUAGAGAAGAACAAGGACGUUAGUAACUGAACGUCCCCUGACGGUAUCUAACCAGAAAGCCACGGCUAACUACGUGCCAGCAGCCGCGGUAAUACGUAGGUGGCAAGCGUUGUCCGGAUUUAUUGGGCGUAAAGCGAGCGCAGGCGGUUUCUUAAGUCUGAUGUGAAAGCCCCCGGCUCAACCGGGGAGGGUCCUUGGAAACUGUGUGACUUUAGUGCAGAAGAGUAUGGUGCAAUUCCAUGUGUAGCAGUGCAAUGCGUAGAUAUAUGGAGGAACACCAGUGGCGAAGGCGGCUCUCUGGUCUGUAACUGACGCUGAGGUUCGAAAGCGUGCUGAGCAAACAGG
This 429-nucleotide ribosomal RNA is filed under the name Gemmatimonadota bacterium. RNAcentral's name for it is "Gemmatimonadetes bacterium partial 16S ribosomal RNA". It matches the Rfam family "Bacterial small subunit ribosomal RNA", at positions 355 to 776 of the family's 1533-position model. The record is from RNAcentral. Lineage: Bacteria; Pseudomonadati; Gemmatimonadota.